RNAcentral lists this ribosomal RNA (501 nucleotides) under uncultured bacterium. Its description in RNAcentral is "partial 16S ribosomal RNA". It matches the Rfam family "Bacterial small subunit ribosomal RNA", at positions 28 to 523 of the family's 1533-position model. The record is from RNAcentral.
GAUGAACGCUAGCGGCAGGCUUAAUACAUGCAAGUCGAGGGGCAGCACAGAUAGCAAUAUUGGGUGGCGACCGGCAAACGGGUGCGGAACACGUACACAACCUUCCUUUUAGUGUGGGAUAGCCCAGAGAAAUUUGGAUUAAUACCACAUAGUAUAUUGGAGUGGCAUCACUUUGAUAUUAAAGAUUUAUCGCUAAAAGAUGGGUGUGCGUAUGAUUAGGUAGUUGGUAGAGGUAACGGCUCACCAAGCCUUCGAUCAUUAACUGGUGUGAGGGCACGACCAGUCACACGGGCACUGAGACACGGGCCCGACUCCUACGGGAGGCAGCAGUAAGGAAUAUUGGUCAAUGGACGGAAGUCUGAACCAGCCAUGCCGCGUGAAGGAUGACGGCCCUCUGGGUUGUAAACUUCUUUUAUGUGGGACGAAAAAGGGCCAUUUUUGGUCAACUGACGGUACCAUAGGAAUAAGCACCGGCUAACUCCGUGCCAGCCGCCGCCGUAA